GAUGAACGCUGGCGGCGUGCCUAAUACAUGCAAGUCGAGCGAACGGACGAGAAGCUUGCUUCUCUGAUGUUAGCGGCGGACGGGUGAGUAACACGUGGAUAACCUACCUAUAAGACUGGGAUAACUUCGGGAAACCGGAGCUAAUACCGGAUAAUAUUUUGAACCGCAUUGUUCAAAAGUGAAAGACGGUCUUGCUGUCACUUAUAGAUGCAUCCGCGCUGCAUUAGCUAGUUGGUAAGGUAACGGCUUACCAAGGCAACGAUGCAUAGCCGACCUGAGAGGGUGAUCGGCCACACUGGAACUGAGACACGGUCCAGACUCCUACGGGAGGCAGCAGUAGGGAAUCUUCCGCAAUGGGCGAAAGCCUGACGGAGCAACGCCGCGUGAGUGAUGAAGGUCUUCGGAUCGUAAAACUCUGUUAUUAGGGAAGAACAUAUGUGUAAGUAACUGUGCACAUCUUGACGGUACCUAAUCAGAAAGCCACGGCUAACUACGUG
Molecule: ribosomal RNA, 497 nt
Filed under: uncultured bacterium
Lineage: Bacteria
Description: partial 16S ribosomal RNA
Rfam family: Bacterial small subunit ribosomal RNA
Source: RNAcentral